CACACCUUUCCAAGGACCCCCAAACUCUGCUCUGUGCACGUCAAAUGCUCCUUUCCCUUGUGUCCAACCCCCUACCCCUCUCCCUAACUCCCCUCUUCUCAACAAGACUCAGCCUCUCCCCGAGGUGGGUGAGCAUCCUUGAGGUUUCCUACCCUUAACUGCUGUGUCCCCGGAUGGAGCCAGAGAAAUGUGGUGGGGGGGCCGGGGCCAGAGUUUCAACAUUGCCCCCCAGAAGGAGGAGCCAGAGAUGGGGUCUGUCCAGGAAAACAGGAUGCCGGAGCCCAGGAGUCGUCAGCCUAGCAGUUGCCUGGCCUCCAGAUGCCUCCCAGGGGAGCAGAUCCUAGCAUGGGCCCCAGGGGUGAGGAAGGGCCUGGAACCGGAAUUGUCUGGAACCCUGAUCUGUACCAACUUUAGGGUCACCUUCCAGCCCUGUGGAUGGCAGUGGAAUCAGGACACUCCCUUGAGCAGUGAAUACGAUUUUGCCCUGGUCAACAUUGGGCGAUUAGAGGCUGUGAGCGGCUUGUCCCGAGUCCAGCUCCUCCGUCCAGGGUCCCUGCUUAAAUUUAUCCCUGAGGAGAUUCUGCUUCAUGGCCGAGACUUCCGGCUGCUCAGAGUUGGUUUUGAGGCUGGAGGCCUAGAGCCUCAGGCUUUUCAGGUGACCAUGGCCAUUGUCCAAGCCAGAGCUCAGAGCAAUCAAGCCCAACAGUAUUCGGGGAUAACCCUGAGCAAGGCUGGCCAGGGUUCUGGCUCCAGAAAACCACCAAUUCCUCUCAUGGAGACAGCGGAAGACUGGGAGACUGAGCGGAAGAAGCAGGCAGCCAGAGGCUGGAGGGUCAGCACGGUCAACGAGAGGUUCGACGUAGCCACCAGGCUCCGGUGUUUCUCCUCUUCCUUGAUUGUGUCUGGCAGCUCCUCCAGCAGUUUCCAGCUGAUUUUGAAUUCUCUGAGUUUUUCCUUCUUGCUCUUCAUGACAGUGUCAGGGUUCCUGACACCCUUACCUUCCUGAGAAAUACCCCCUGGGAGCGCGGAAAGCAGAGCGGACAGGUCAGUGACUUCUAUUUUUGACUCGUGUUUUUUAUUCCAUUGAGAUGUACUCUCUGAAGUUUGGUCUUGAUUUGUUUUAUGAGAAGUGAGGUCUGUGAGUGGGGAGGGGGAAAUUGAUUCUCAUUUUCAGGACGAGGCUUUUGUCCUACAUCUUUCCUGGAAUAAGAGGUGAGAAUCUCAUGAUUUGUCUCUAGAUGUGGGAGGAUUGUGUGUAACCAUCCUUUUUCUUGCUUCCUCUGUCCAGUUAAACUCCUAUACACAAGUCUACACCCCAGGAUACUCCCAGCCCCCAGCUGGGAACUCUUUUAACCUGCAGCUGUCUGUCUGGGACUGGGAUUUACGCUAUAGCAAUGCACAGAUACUACAAUUCCAGAAUCCUGGCUAUGACCCAGAACACUGUCCAGAUUCCUGGCUCCCUAGACCGCAGCCAAGCUUCAUGGUUCCUGGACCCCCCAGUUCUGUGUGGCUCUUCUCUAGAGGAGCAUUGACCCCCCUGAAUCAGCUCUGUCCUUGGCGGGACAGUCCCUCCCUGCUGGCAGUCUCUUCUCGUUGGCUCCCUCGACCUGCUAUCUCCUCUGAAAGCCUGGCUGACCAGGAAUGGGGUCUCCCCUCACAUUGGGGAGCUUGCCCUUUACCUCCAGGGCUGCUGCUGCCUGGGUAUCUGGGACCCCAGAUCAGGCUCUGGAGACGCUGCUACUUGAGGGGAAGGCCUGAGGUCCAGGUAAGAAGGGAAAAUAGACUGGGAGUGGGAGAAGGGACUUGGCUCUGCUGAACCAGAUGUACAGGAGCUGUAAAGGCAAGGAGCUGAAGGCUGAGGGUCUGGGAGGUGAAGUUCUACUCCUCUUGGCAUCAAACAAGGUUUGGGAGUGUAGGAGGUGCGGGAAAGUGCUUGUGGCUUAGAUUAAGUGGAAUUUAGGGCAUAGCUGGAAGGGGAAACAGAAUUAAAGACACCAGAAGUAGCAGAGAAGCAGGGGGCCAGAGCUACAACAGUAUUCCUCUCUGUUCCUCUUUGCCUCCUCCCCAGAUGGGCCUCUCAGCUCCCACAAUCUCUGGCCUCCAGGAUGAGCUAUCCCAUCUUCAGGAGUUAUUACGGAAAUGGACACCAAGAAUAUCUCCUGAAGAUCACUCCAAGGAAAGAGAUCCACAUACCAUUCUCAAUCCCACUGAAAUUGCUGGCAUUCUCAAAGGCAGGGCAGAGGGGGAUCUGGGGUAGAGGAGGGUUCUGUCUUUUUUUUUUUUGUAUCUGGACUUGCAGCCUUAGCUUUCACACUUCAGCCCUUAAGUUCACUAAGACGUUCUGAGUUUCUCCUGCAGAUGGUGGUGUUAACUGCUCCAACUCUUGUCUUGCUUAGUUCCUACAAAUAUUUUUGCUUCUUGUCAUUUGAAGGAUUAAGAAACAAAAACAAUCCAGAAAUUGAUCGGUUUUUUUAGGCCAAUUCCAUCCCUUCUGGAUAACCAGAUGUUAAAUCAUGAGAUCAGAGAUGCUGUUCAUCAGUCCCAACAAGAUGGCCUAGAAAUCGCAUUCUCACCUCGCCUUGCUGCUGCUUUAAUUCCAAGUUCUAUUUCUUCCCUUAUAGUUUUCUAUGGGAAUGAGGCUGAUACAGGAAACACCCUGUCUCCUCUGUAUUUUUGUAGUGGAAUUUCUAUUUAAGGGGCUCAUUAAAGCAUAGUAUUUAUACAC
RNAcentral lists this small RNA (2725 nucleotides) under Pongo abelii (Sumatran orangutan). RNAcentral's name for it is "retained intron". The record is from RNAcentral. Lineage: Eukaryota; Metazoa; Chordata; Mammalia; Primates; Hominidae.